This 391-nucleotide ribosomal RNA is filed under the name uncultured bacterium. Its description in RNAcentral is "bacterial SSU rRNA". It matches the Rfam family "Bacterial small subunit ribosomal RNA", at positions 28 to 412 of the family's 1533-position model. The record is from RNAcentral.
GACGAACGCUGGCGGCGUGCCUAACACAUGCAAGUCAGGGAGAAGGAGGUAGCAAUACUUCCGGAAACCGGCGCACGGGUGAGUAACACGUAGGUAACCUACCCUUGAGCGGGGAACAACAUCGAGAAAUCGGUGCUAAUACCGCAUAAUGCAACGAGACCGCAUGGUUUUGUUGUUAAAGAUCCGCAAGGAUCACUUGAGGAUGGACCUGCGCCCGAUUAGCUAGUUGGCGGAGUAAAAGCCCACCAAGGCAACGAUCGGUAGCCGACCUGAGAGGGUGAUCGGCCACACUGGAACUGAGAUACGGUCCAGACUCCUACGGGGAGCAGCAGUGAGGAAUAUUGGUCAAUGGCCGAAAGGACUGAGCCAGCAACGCCGCGUGAGGGACGAA